Molecule: ribosomal RNA, 1048 nt
Filed under: Curtobacterium flaccumfaciens
Lineage: Bacteria; Bacillati; Actinomycetota; Actinomycetes; Micrococcales; Microbacteriaceae
Description: bacterial SSU rRNA
Rfam family: Bacterial small subunit ribosomal RNA
Source: RNAcentral
CUUGCUGGGUGGAUUAGUGGCGAACGGGUGAGUAACACGUGAGUAACCUGCCCCUGACUCUGGGAUAAGCGUUGGAAACGACGUCUAAUACUGGAUAUGAUCACUGGCCGCAUGGUCUGGUGGUGGAAAGAUUUUUUGGUUGGGGAUGGACUCGCGGCCUAUCAGCUUGUUGGUGAGGUAAUGGCUCACCAAGGCGACGACGGGUAGCCGGCCUGAGAGGGUGACCGGCCACACUGGGACUGAGACACGGCCCAGACUCCUACGGGAGGCAGCAGUGGGGAAUAUUGCACAAUGGGCGAAAGCCUGAUGCAGCAACGCCGCGUGAGGGAUGACGGCCUUCGGGUUGUAAACCUCUUUUAGUAGGGAAGAAGCGAAAGUGACGGUACCUGCAGAAAAAGCACCGGCUAACUACGUGCCAGCAGCCGCGGUAAUACGUAGGGUGCAAGCGUUGUCCGGAAUUAUUGGGCGUAAAGAGCUCGUAGGCGGUUUGUCGCGUCUGCUGUGAAAUCCCGAGGCUCAACCUCGGGCUUGCAGUGGGUACGGGCAGACUAGAGUGCGGUAGGGGAGAUUGGAAUUCCUGGUGUAGCGGUGGAAUGCGCAGAUAUCAGGAGGAACACCGAUGGCGAAGGCAGAUCUCUGGGCCGUAACUGACGCUGAGGAGCGAAAGCAUGGGGAGCGAACAGGAUUAGAUACCCUGGUAGUCCAUGCCGUAAACGUUGGGCGCUAGAUGUAGGGACCUUUCCACGGUUUCUGUGUCGUAGCUAACGCAUUAAGCGCCCCGCCUGGGGAGUACGGCCGCAAGGCUAAAACUCAAAGGAAUUGACGGGGGCCCGCACAAGCGGCGGAGCAUGCGGAUUAAUUCGAUGCAACGCGAAGAACCUUACCAAGGCUUGACAUACACCGGAAACGGCCAGAGAUGGUCGCCCCCUUGUGGUCGGUGUACAGGUGGUGCAUGGUUGUCGUCAGCUCGUGUCGUGAGAUGUUGGGUUAAGUCCCGCAACGAGCGCAACCCUCGUUCUAUGUUGCCAGCGGGUUAUGCCGGGGACUC